AGAGUUUGAUCAUGGCUCAGGACAAACGCUGGCGGCGUGCAUAACACAUGCAAGUCGAACGGACCGGGAGACCGGUCAGUGGCGGACGGGUGAGGAACACGUGGGUGACCUGCCCAGGAGUGGGGAAUACCCGAGGGAAACCUCGGCUAAUGCCGCAUACGAUCACCGAGAGGUGAGGAAAGCGCUUCGGCGCGCUCGUG
RNAcentral lists this ribosomal RNA (200 nucleotides) under uncultured bacterium. Its description in RNAcentral is "partial 16S ribosomal RNA". It matches the Rfam family "Bacterial small subunit ribosomal RNA", at positions 8 to 223 of the family's 1533-position model. The record is from RNAcentral.